Molecule: ribosomal RNA, 459 nt
Filed under: uncultured bacterium
Lineage: Bacteria
Description: partial 16S ribosomal RNA
Rfam family: Bacterial small subunit ribosomal RNA
Source: RNAcentral
CCUACGGGCGGCAGCAGUGAGGAAUAUUGGUCAAUGGGCGGGAGCCUGAACCAGCCAAGCCGCGUGAGGGAAGAAGGUACAGCGUAUCGUAAACCUCUUUUGUCAGGGAACAAAGGCUGGGACUAGUCCCCGGAUGAGGGUACCUGACGAACAAGCAUCGGCUAACUCCGUGCCAGCAGCCGCGGUAAUACGGGGGAUGCGAGCGUUAUCCGGAUUUAUGGGGCUUAAAGGGUGCGCGGGCGGCCUGUUAAGUCAGCGGUAAAAGCCCGGGGCUCAACCCCGGCGAGCCGUUGAAACUGGCGGGCUGGAGUUGGAGAGAGGUAGGCGGAAUGCGCGGUGUAGCGGUGAAAUGCUUAGAUAUCGCGCAGAACCCCGAUUGCGAAGGCAGCGUACCGGCUCCACACUGACGCUGAGGCACGAAAGCGUGGGUAUCGAACAGGAUUAGAUACCCCUGUAGUC